RNAcentral lists this ribosomal RNA (680 nucleotides) under uncultured Fusobacterium sp. Its description in RNAcentral is "bacterial SSU rRNA". It matches the Rfam family "Bacterial small subunit ribosomal RNA", at positions 70 to 763 of the family's 1533-position model. Lineage: Bacteria; Fusobacteriati; Fusobacteriota; Fusobacteriia; Fusobacteriales; Fusobacteriaceae. The record is from RNAcentral.
AAUUUGGGUUUUUAACUUAGAUUUGGGUGGCGGACGGGUGAGUAACGCGUAAAGAACUUGCCUCACAGCUAGGGACAACAUUUAGAAAUGAAUGCUAAUACCUGAUAUUAUGAUUUUAAGGCAUCUUAGAAUUAUGAAAGCUAUAAGCACUGUGAGAGAGCUUUGCGUCCCAUUAGCUAGUUGGAGAGGUAACAGCUCACCAAGUCGAUGAUGGGUAGCCGGCCUGAGAGGGUGAACGGCCACAAGGGGACUGAGACACGGCCCUUACUCCUACGGGAGGCAGCAGUGGGGAAUAUUGGACAAUGGACCGAGAGUCUGAUCCAGCAAUUCUGUGUGCACGAUGAAGUUUUUCGGAAUGUAAAGUGCUUUCAGUUGGGAAGAAAAAAAUGACGGUACCAACAGAAGAAGUGACGGCUAAAUACGUGCCAGCAGCCGCGGUAAUACGUAUGUCACGAGCGUUAUCCGGAUUUAUUGGGCGUAAAGCGCGUCUAGGUGGUUAUGUAAGUCUGAUGUGAAAAUGCAGGGCUCAACUCUGUAUUGCGUUGGAAACUGUAUAACUAGAGUACUGGAGAGGUAAGCGGAACUACAAGUGUAGAGGUGAAAUUCGUAGAUAUUUGUAGGAAUGCCGAUGGGGAAGCCAGCUUACUGGACAGAUACUGACGCUAAAGCGCGAAAGCGUG